GGAACGUUAGCUCAGCUGGUUCAGAGCGCUGCUUUCACACAGCAGAGGUCACUGGUUCGAGCCCAGUACGUUCCA
Molecule: transfer RNA, 75 nt
Filed under: Bacteroidota bacterium
Lineage: Bacteria; Pseudomonadati; Bacteroidota
Also listed under: 1 other name
Description: Bacteroidetes bacterium tRNA-Val
Rfam family: tRNA
About the family: Transfer RNA (tRNA) molecules are approximately 80 nucleotides in length.
Source: RNAcentral